RNAcentral lists this ribosomal RNA (412 nucleotides) under uncultured bacterium. RNAcentral's name for it is "bacterial SSU rRNA". It matches the Rfam family "Bacterial small subunit ribosomal RNA", at positions 98 to 518 of the family's 1533-position model. The record is from RNAcentral.
GCGGACGGGUGAGUAACACGUGAGCAACCUACCUUAAGCGGGGGGAUAACAUUGAGAAAUCAGUGCUAAUACCGCAUGAAAACUAUAGAAAAGACAUCUUUUCAAUAGUCAAAGGAGUAAUCCACCAUAAGAUGGGCUCGCGGCUGAUUAGCCAGUUGGUGGGGUAACGGCCUACCAAAGCGAUGAUCAGUAGCCCGAGCUGAGAGGCUCAACGGCCACAUUGGGACUGAGACACGGCCCAGACUCCUACGGGAGGCAGCAGUCGGGAAUAUCGCACAAUGGAGGAAACUCUGAUGCAAGUGACGCCGCGUAUAGGAUGAAGGUCCUUGGAUUGUAAACUAUUGUCGACAGGGAAGAAACAAAUGACAGUACCUGUGGAGGAAGCUCCGGCUAACUACGUGCCAGCCGCGGC